GACAGCAGCCGCCGCGGUAACACCGAGGGUGCGAGCGUUAAUCGGAUUUACUGGGCGUAAAGCGUGCGUAGGCGGCUUCUUAAGUCGGAUGUGAAAUCCCUGAGCUUAACUUAGGAAUUGCAUUCGAUACUGGGAAGCUAGAGUAUGGGAGAGGAUGGUAGAAUUCCAGGUGUAGCGGUGAAAUGCGUAGAGAUCUGGAGGAAUACCGAUGGCGAAGGCAGCCAUCUGGCCUAAUACUGACGCUGAGGUACGAAAGCAUGGGGAGCAAACAGGAUUAGAUACCCCGGUAGUCCCUGUCUCUUAUAC
RNAcentral lists this ribosomal RNA (306 nucleotides) under uncultured bacterium. RNAcentral's name for it is "partial 16S ribosomal RNA". It matches the Rfam family "Bacterial small subunit ribosomal RNA", at positions 507 to 807 of the family's 1533-position model. The record is from RNAcentral.